Molecule: long non-coding RNA, 5264 nt
Organism: Rhinolophus ferrumequinum (greater horseshoe bat)
Lineage: Eukaryota; Metazoa; Chordata; Mammalia; Chiroptera; Rhinolophidae
Exons: 3
Source: RefSeq, a predicted model, not a curated record
UUUGCCUGGUACCUAAAUUAAGAAGUUGGCUCCUGGAGUGGAUUGACGACAACUACAACUUCUUGAACGAGGAAGACAGGAUUGUGUAACCGAAGAAUUUCACACUCUUAAGGGACCUUCCUUUCAUUGUUACUCACUUGGGGACUAUCUUAAAUGAGUAAUAAUCUCACCCAUUCAUGGUGGAAUUCUUAAAAUUAGACUCUGAUUCAGGUUUAACAACCUUUUUCAAACAUCUGAUGGAUUUACGGGAGCUGAACUAAAAUAUACAGGAAGCUUUGGUGUAGUCAUUAAGAACGAUAGUACCGUGUUUCCCUGAAAAUAAGACCUAAGACCUAACCAGAAAAUAAGCCCUAGCGUGAUUUUUCAGGAUGACACCCCCUGAACAUAAGUCCUAACGUGUCUUUUGGAGCAAACCUUAAUAUAAGACCUGGUCUUAUUUUGGGGGGAACACGGUAAUGUCUAACAUUUUAAGGGUUGGCUAGGAUUUAGGAUGAUGCAAAUAAUAUAUAAAUUAAUAAAGUACCUAAAAAAAUAAAUAAGGAAAUUACUCAAAAGCAAAGGAAGGAUACUUAGAAAAGGAUUUAAAAGCUAUACAGAAAAUGCAGGUCCACAAAGUACUGGCUAUUUUAAGUGCCAGUUUAAUUUUUAGACGAAGUGGGCCUGCUGUGGUUUCCAGAUUGAUACGAUCUUAAAGAGAAUAUGUAAUACCCAGUGUUGGGAAGCUCUUACCCGUUGCUUCCCCCCUCUUCCUUUUAGGCCCUUGAACUCCCUAAAUUAGGACUGUGUGUUUCAAACCUGUUUUUAUUAUUGGGGUUACAUUAAGAAUGCUGUGGCCAAGACAUGUUUAUUUUCAUAAUUUCUGUUACUUAAAUACUUCAACAAAUAUUUGAGCACUUACUAUGUACAGGUACCACAGUGAACAGAACAACAGUCGUUGCCUUCAUGGAGUUUACCUUGUCCUAUUAUCUAAGUAAGAAAAGAACUGACAUUCCAGGAGUGCCCCGCUGGUGACACUGCCAAAGCAGACACUCGAAGCCCUCGGAAGUGAUUCCUUUUAUAGAGCAGAGACUCCUUCAUGUAACAGAUGUUAGAGAUAGUCUCUCCUCGCUGACGUUGGUGGCAUUUGGUACAUGUGAAUUGCGUACUUAUUUGGGGGCUAUUCCCCUCUCAGAAUCAGGGCAUAGAUCUGGUAAAUUCUACAUCCUCUGCCUUUUAGAAUGGCACUUAGGGUUAGAGUGAAAUCUGGGAUUGAUUUUUGGAGGAUUUCAACUGCCAGCUAUAAGGUGAACGAUUACGCCUUCAGGGUAUUGUGGCAUCUGUCUGCACAUGACCUGUUACGUAAAGGUUGAAGCGUCCAGAGAAACACAGCACUGGGAUUUGCUUGAGUGUACCAAACAUUGUAUGAACUGUUUUCAUGCUGCUUCUUAAUUUGUCUAGUAAAUGUUUGUAGCUAAAUUUGGUGUGAUUUGCAUUUGUUCUAACAGAUUACUUGUUACUGAGGCUGUGCCAGUAUUAACAGUUCUCAUAUAGCUUAAUGUUAGGUCACACACACAGAUUUACAAGCUGUGCUACCUUUCUGAGCCUAAAAUCAGCCAACGACCACAACCAUCGAACAUUCUGAGAAUUUCUAGUACAGGGAAGAUGGAGGAAUCUUAGUGUUAGAUAGAGCAUGGCUGUAAAUGGCGCACAGAGAUGGUGGCCGUGUGAGGGUGGACUCUUUCCUGUAUAUGAUGAAUGAGAGAUUGUGCCUCACCCUGAACUGCCAUCUCAAGUACUGUGACUGCUUAAGUACCCACAGUAAAGACCUUUAAGAAGGGAAUAAAGGGGAUACCAAGCAAAGCUGAUAAACUUGUCAAGACAAAAACAGACAUCAAAAGAAUAACAGCAAUGUGAUUUUAAUCUGGUAGCACUGGAGUCUCUUUCUUGAUGGCACCAUGCAUCGACAACUGUACCCAUGUGUGCCUGGAAAGCAUCAGUUGAAGAGCUGGACGUGUAGUUCGAAGCAGAAUUGUCACCGGUGUGAAGAAGUAAACCUGCUCUCUCAGAAUUUUCUUUAUCGAGCCACUCAGAAAAUUUGGAUUCACUCGAUUUUUCCAGUUUCUGUUCAUCUGACUGGUGACUAUGCUCACUUGCUGUAUGGUCCUUGAGGACUUGUGGACCGGACAAAGGGAAUGACUUUCCAUUGGUUUCACGUACAUGAGGCCUGAAAUAUAGAAACAAAAACAAAGCUAAAACACCACAUGCAAACACUGACAACUGGAGGAAAAACAAACACUGGUCCUGUAAUUUAACCUCCCAAUAUACAGUUUGUUAUUUUUGUAACAUAACAACAGAAAGGGGAAAAUAUUUGCAACCAUUAACAUUUUAUACUCUCUGAAUCCAAAAUCUUUAUGCCAGAAUACAUGAAUGCUUACCAGAAACAUCUGUCAUUACUAAAAUUAAAUUUCUAAUAAUUAGAAGUGUAAUUUAAAAAAAACAACAACUUACAAACAGAACUGAAAUUGCAUUUAUUUGUGACAAAAUGUAGCAUAAGGAAAAUGCUAUAAGCAAACACUUAAUUCCCUAAAACACUCCCCAACCAACAUAAAGUUGGUUGUAGUAGAGGUUGUUUAAUUUUGAUACAUAAUGCUAUACGAAUAGUAUAUUGAUUUAAAAUAAUUUAAUUAAAGACUACCUUUAUUUAGGUAUUAAUUACCUCUAUUUAGGUAAUAAUUAACUUCUAGGUGAGGAUAAAUGCCAUCACGUUGCAAAUUAUCGUCAUCGGAUUAUUUUUACUGUGUGAACUGCACGGGAGUCAAUGAGAGCAGAAUGAUGACAAGAGUUGAGGCUUCUCUGGGUAGACGAGAGCUACAUUCAGCUCCAUUGCUUUGGGCAAAUGACAAUCUAGGCUCCAAAUUUUCUCCUUUGUAAAUACCACCUACCUCCUCAUGCUGUGAGGAUUGGGACAACUGUGUUAUACCUGGGACUCUGCAGGCCCGGAUCCUUAGGACUACAUCCUUGAACAGUCCCCAAUAAGACAUGCAUCAUGAUUCUGUGGACACUGCUUUCAGAGUAGUUAGUAAGCAUGCCUUUCUGAUAAAGUGUUCCUAUAACACAUGCAUUCAAUAAAAAAGAUUUUAAUAUUUCCAUAUAUCUGAUUACCUUUUUAUCAAAUGAUUUUUUAUUGGCAGCUGUGAUUCUGGAUGGAAGUCACGAAAUGUACAGCCUACUUCCAAGUUUCCGAGGUCUUUUCUAAGGCCUGACGAGGGACAAAAGCAAAACUAUGUAAAUGAGCUUAGUAAUUGACUCCAUUUGUAGUUCUCGUCAUUUACAUAAAGCUUUCUGUAGACAGGUAAUUCUCUUCCAAUUAACAAACAAAAACUAACUCUUCAAGACUCAGCUCAAAUAAAUACCUCUUUUUUGAACCCUUUAUAUAAAAUGAAUGUUUUUUCCCUCAAUUUAUUACACUUGAAAGUAUCAUCAGUGCUAGAGUAGUGCUGUUCCCCUGGACUGUGUGGAGCUGUGAGUCCCCUUCACAGGAGACGCACUGCUGACAAAAGGGCGGGGAAAUCCUGCUUUGAGGACUGACGCCUUGGGUGGAAGUCUGGAUUCACUACUGCUUGGCUGGUACCUUGAAGCCUCUUCACCCCUUGCAAUCUCAGCUUCCAAGUGUCUGUGAUGAGAUAAUGAUAUCUAUUUGACCUACCGCCCAGGAAUAUUAGGAGCACACCCGAAUUAAAAUGGUGGGUAUUACGAUAACAUGUAAAAUGGUAUACCAUCACGAACUCGCUACCAUUUGUUGACUCAAGUUGUAAAAAGUUGGUAAUAGUUGUUCCAUCUUUAACAUUGAACACCAUUUCUAUUGAGAAGAUGACAAACUUUGUCACUUCAAACGACAACAACAACUGAUAGUAUUUAUUGCUAAUGAGGAAAUUCAAACUUUUAGGUGAGAAUUUUGGAAAACUAGUAUGCACGAAUUUUGUAGCUUCCCAAUAAUUAUAGACUUUCUGCUAAUAUCUAUGGUGAUAUUAACAGGUGUGGUUUUAAAGAAGACAUUACAUAAGAAAUAUACCAACAUUUGGAAGACUUGCAUAAUUUAUCAAACCAGUAUUUCCCAAAUCAGGAUACAUGGAUGUUACAAAAUUAUGCUUGCAUAAAAUAAAUUAUUCUUUCAAUGAAUAAAUAAAGUUUUCAGAUGUAAUGCCUAAUACAGUCACUUAAUAGAUACAACUAUAGAAACAAAAGCUUUUUGAGGUCCCCGAUAUUGUUUAAUAGUAUAAUGGUAUCGUGAGGUCAAAAAGUAUGAAAACCACUGUUCUAGUUGAUUUAAAAUAGUUGCCUUUUUAAAAGCUCAGUCACCGCUUUUCUGUGAGAUAGCAGCACCCUUUUUAUACCCAAGGAAGUUAAGUGACCUAGCCACGCUAACUAGCCGGUAGGUGGCAGCACUCACAGGAGCCGAGGGUUAACUCCAAACCCAGUGCUCUCCCCACCACCAGAGAGCGCUCUUGUGCACAGGCCACAGGCCACAGAAAUACAAGGUCACCAUACAGAAUCUGAUGAAACUAGGCCAUUGGUUUGAACAUCAAAUGACAUGAUACACUUUAAUGUGCUGGUACCCACAGAAGAUAACAAAAUAUGUGGCAGUAGCUUGACUUGUCAAUCAAUUGCCUCUACUUCUGUACAAUUCUACUAAGGUUUUCUGUAGUCUCAUUUUUAGAUGAACUUUUCAUCAUUUAUUUAGUUUCUUCUCAUUCUCAUGCUUCUGUUUUGUGCACCAAAUCUAUGAAUUGAAGUCUGGAAAGUAAAUGAAAUCAAAGGUAUUAAAGCAGAAACUAUUUUGUAAACAAUAACAGUGAAUUCUAUCUUAGAUGACCUUUUUGUCCCUAAAUCGAUACUCUCGGUUUUUUUAAAAAAUACUACCCUGUCUCUCAAAAUUCAGUUGGAUUCUAUAAUGGAUCAAAACAUCUCAAUAUUACCCUAUGGAAAAAAAAAUCUAUUAUUUGAUUUUGAUCAGGCUCUGCAAGUUAAGUCUUGACACAAUUUCCAAGAAAGAACUAUGAAAUAUACAUGAGGAUUUAAUGCCCUAUCUGGAUGCUCACACAGUAAACCACACCUCCCAGGAGCUGAAACUUCAGAUAGGCCAAUGCUGGGAACUGCAAGUCCGGCGUUCAUUUGUUUAAGAUUGAACUCUUACUUCCACUCCAUUGCAGUACGCUCCUUACAGCACUAAGGUGUGUCCCCUGCCUGUUACUGGCUGCUCAGUGGCUAGCACAGUGUCUAGCACA